Molecule: ribosomal RNA, 395 nt
Filed under: uncultured bacterium
Lineage: Bacteria
Description: partial 16S ribosomal RNA
Rfam family: Bacterial small subunit ribosomal RNA
Source: RNAcentral
AUACGUAGGGUGCAAGCGUUAAUCGGAAUUACUGGGCGUAAAGCGUGCGCAGGCGGUUUUGUAAGACAGAGGUGAAAUCCCCGGGCUCAACCUGGGAACUGCCUUUGUGACUGCAAGGCUAGAGUACGGCAGAGGGGGAUGGAAUUCCGCGUGUAGCAGUGAAAUGCGUAGAUAUGCGGAGGAACACCGAUGGCGAAGGCAAUCCCCUGGGCCUGUACUGACGCUCAUGCACGAAAGCGUGGGGAGCAAACAGGAUUAGAUACCCUGGUAGUCCACGCCCUAAACGAUGUCAACUGGUUGUUGGGUCUUCAUUGACUCAGUAACGAAGCUAACGCGUGAAUUUGACCGCCUGGGGAGUACGGCCGCAAGGUUGAAACUCAAAUGAAUUGACGGGG